This 461-nucleotide long non-coding RNA is filed under the name Drosophila guanche. The record is from RNAcentral. Lineage: Eukaryota; Metazoa; Arthropoda; Insecta; Diptera; Drosophilidae.
CGAAAUGUAAGCGGAAACGGGUGAGAAUGAGCUGAGGAUGCUGUGCCGUUUUAGUCUAGGCUCCGCCUUUGAAACUCAAUUCGAAAAUGAAAUUCAAGUAUCAAAAGAAACACAAGCCACUCAAAUCAAUUAAACACGCUCUUCGACACUUGGCACACGGUGAGUAAUGAGACGGCACCACGCCCCACGCCCCACGCACUUUAAUCACUCACUCGGCAGCUCUGGGCAAGGCUGUGCUAUAUUUGGGCACUCCUCCCUUGUGUCCGGUCCAUCAGAAUGGCGUUUUAACCCAACUCCACUGCCAGUACCUGGGCUGCUGUCCGUUGUGCCAUCUGUGCGGAUUCUCGUGCGUCGCAGCGACAUGUGCGCGACACCCAUGGGACAUCUGCACUUGGAUAUAGUGAGCUGGCAUAACAUGGCAACUAAAUAAAUUGAUUAAUGCUGGCGGAGCAAUAAAGAAA